Molecule: ribosomal RNA, 300 nt
Filed under: uncultured bacterium
Lineage: Bacteria
Description: bacterial SSU rRNA
Rfam family: Bacterial small subunit ribosomal RNA
Source: RNAcentral
UUAAGUCCCGCAACGAGCGCAACCCUUGUCAUUAGUUGCUACAUUUAGUUGGGCACUCUAAUGAGACUGCCGGUGACAAACCGGAGGAAGGUGGGGAUGACGUCAAGUCCUCAUGGCCCUUAUAGGUGGGGCUACACACGUCAUACAAUGGCUGGUACAGAGGGUUGCCAACCCGCGAGGGGGAGCUAAUCCCAUAAAACCAGUCGUAGUCCGGAUCGCAGUCUGCAACUCGACUGCGUGAAGUCGGAAUCGCUAGUAAUCGCGGAUCAGCAUGCCGCGGUGAAUACGUUCCCGGGUCUU